RNAcentral lists this long non-coding RNA (1395 nucleotides) under Oryza sativa (Asian cultivated rice). RNAcentral describes it as "long non-coding RNA (OSAT_LNC001825)". Lineage: Eukaryota; Viridiplantae; Streptophyta; Magnoliopsida; Poales; Poaceae. The record is from RNAcentral.
ACGGCAAUGGCGGAGGAGGAGGAUGCGAGGAGUUCUUCGAUUACAUUUUUGGUGAUGAAGAGGAUGCAACGGCAGCAGCUGGCUUCAAACUGAUGAAAGCUGCUUACGAAUGGAAGAACAGUGGCCAUGUUAUUACUUAUUAGAGUGUAAAUCUUUCUGUUCUAACAACCUUGUUGUAUGUUAUUGCCGUGGAAUUAGUUUGUUAAGCAUAUAGAAAAUUCACUAGAUUUUGACAUAAAUUUCACAACGAACAGUCAAAUGAUGCUGGAAUUAUGAAAACAGCCCGUGGAUGACACAGUUACUCAUAGAUCGCUUGUAACUUAAAUAGUUAUAAAUAAAUAAAAAAGUAACAAAAAAUAGAUUAGUAUGAGAUAUAUCAAUCCAUAAGUAUGCAUGCUGAAAUUCGACUUGUAUAAGUUGUAAAAACCAGUUAUAAAAAAACAAAAAAUUAAAUUAAAACUUGUAUACAAAUACUUUGUUCAACUUAUAGCAAUCGAAUUUGAAUGUGCAAUGUUUAUGGAGUGAUACAAAUCAAUCUAUAUUGUUAUUGUUUCUAACUACUUAGAUGAUAUACACCCAUCGAGUAGGGAAACGCUUUUCCAAACAAACAUCUACAGACUACCUUCAGUUAUUUGUUCUUCCAAUUACAGCAAUAUCCAUACAAAACAGAUUUGCUGCAAGAAAAAACAUGUAAAUAAAAUGUUGGUGCGGCAACACUUACCGGAAUGAAGAACAGAAAAAAAAAAUUCUUGGAACAAAAGAGAAAAUACAUGAGGAAAAAAAAAAGGAACUUCCUCUAGACGUUUCCAUAGUAUAUAGCAGGGUUUGCUUUAUCGGUUUGUGCUUUUAUAUCGGGGGUCACCGAAAUCCCGAAAUUUUGGAAAUUUCGGUCCGAAAUUUCGAAAUUUUGAGCAAAAUUUAGUUGAAUUUGAAUAAAUAUUACCCAAAUUUAUGAAAAUUUUGAAAAAUUAAAGAAAUUCAGCCGGAAUAAUAUCGUAUCGGAGGGGAAUUUCGGUCCGAAAUGUCUAACCCUAGUAUAUAGACAUAUCCUUGCUCAUGAAUCAAGAUAAACCAAUCUAAUCAUUCAAGUAUACCACUAUCUCAAAUUGGACAAAGAAUCAUGAGAAGAAACCCAAAGGGGUGACCUGAGAACACAGUUACAGAAUUACUCCAUUAUACAGUAGCUCACCAUACAUUGUAUUGGCACCUGUGUUCUCAGUACCACUCCUCUGGGUUCAGCUUCUCUUCAUUGCUGUAACCGGCAAGUAAUUUCUUCAGAUAAUGUCAGUGGUUACUGCCAGCUUCUCCAUUAGGCUAGUAUUGUUGAUGCAUAUGGUUAGAUUGAGAAGAGUCAUGAACACAAGAAGAUGGUUGGAGAGAAUUUAUAUAUAGGGC